Molecule: ribosomal RNA, 207 nt
Filed under: uncultured bacterium
Lineage: Bacteria
Description: partial 16S ribosomal RNA
Rfam family: Bacterial small subunit ribosomal RNA
Source: RNAcentral
AGCGUAGGCGGACAUUUAAGUCAGGGGUGAAAUCCCGGGGCUCAACCUCGGAAUUGCCUUUGAUACUGGGUGUCUUGAGUAUGAGAGAGGUGUGUGGAACUCCGAGUGUAGAGGUGAAAUUCGUAGAUAUUCGGAAGAACACCAGUGGCGAAGGCGACACACUGGCUCAUUACUGACGCUGAGGCUCGAAAGCGAGGGGAGCAAACA